RNAcentral lists this ribosomal RNA (425 nucleotides) under uncultured bacterium. RNAcentral's name for it is "bacterial SSU rRNA". It matches the Rfam family "Bacterial small subunit ribosomal RNA", at positions 354 to 796 of the family's 1533-position model. The record is from RNAcentral.
GUUGGGAAUAUUGGACAAUGGGGUAACCCCUGAUCCAGCAAUCCCGCGUGAGUGAUGAAGGCCUUCGGGUCGUAAAACUCUUUUAGGGGGGACGAUAAUGACGGUACCCCCAGAAAAAGCACCGGCUAACUCUGUGCCAGCAGCCGCGGUAAUACAGAGGGUGCAAGCGUUGUUCGGAAUUAUUGGGCGUAAAGCGAGUGUAGGCGGUUACCUCAGUCUGAUGUGAAAGCCCAGGGCUCAACCCUGGAAGUGCAUUGGAUACUGGGUAACUAGAGGGCGAUAGAGGAGAUCGGAAUUAAUGGUGUAGGGGUGAAAUCCGUAGAUAUCAUUAGGAACACCGAAAGCGAAGGCUGAUCUCUGGGUCGCAUCUGACGCUAAGACUCGAAAGCAUGGGUAGCAAACAGGAUUAGAUACCCCAGUAGUCC